This 1035-nucleotide long non-coding RNA is filed under the name Panax ginseng (ginseng). RNAcentral's name for it is "long non-coding RNA (PGIN_LNC002100)". The record is from RNAcentral. Lineage: Eukaryota; Viridiplantae; Streptophyta; Magnoliopsida; Apiales; Araliaceae.
UUUGCAUAAUAUUUUCUAUCUCCCUCAAUCACUUUACAAUUGUCUUAUUUAUAGAAAUAAGAACAAUAAUACUACUAGGAUGUUACAAAACUCAAGAGUCAUACAUUUUAAUACUCAAUAAGAGUUACAUGUAUCUAGACAUUCAUAUGAAUCUAGACAUUUUAUAACAAUAAUAAUAUUAUUAUAUUAUGGUUAUAGUUUUUUUGGACUAUGACGAUAGAUAUUUUGAUCUAUGGCGACGGUUGUCGUCAUAGCCUAAAAAAACCGUCGUCAUAACACAGCUCUGUACUACACAACUGUGUAUACAUAUAUAACCCAAAAAUAAAAACUAAGUAAAUACAUAUAUAAAUAUAGGUUUAUAUAUCAUCUGUUUGCACUGCGUAGCACGAAUUAGAUCUAUCAACUAGCGGGGAAGAGGAAGAGGGGAAGCCAUGAAUUGGAUCUCUCUCUCUCUCUCUUAAUCGAUCACUCCACCGCCUCCUCAACCAACAAUCACCACCUUCACCGCUCCAUACACCAUCGCCGCCUUCCGUGGGGAGACAUGGGUGCUCUCAAACAUCUGGCCAUGACAAUCGCCUUACUGUUUCUUCUUUCUUUGUGUGGUUGAUGGCGGUUCUAAUUGAGGUGGGUUUUGGGAAAUUUUUGGGUUGAAGGGGAUUUGGAGGAGGGGAUUGUGAAGAGGUUGCUUCCAUUGUUUUUUUGUUUUUUGUUUUUUGUUUUAGCAAGAGGUUGCUUUCAUGGGUGACGAUGCUUGUUGAAGAGGGAAAGGAGGAAGAAGAGGAUAGGAUUGUGACGUGGGUUUUUAUUUUAUUUAAAAGAUAAUAAUUUUGGUCUCCAAUAUCUUCAUUUACUUAAUUUUCAAAUUCCAAUUAAAUAUAAUUAGUUACUUAUAAAUAUAUUCAUUUGUGGAAAUCUUUAUUUUAUUUCAAAAUAUAGGAUGGGGGAAGCUAGUUAUAUAUGAAUAAGAAGCAAAAUUCCAAUUCUCAUUAUAUAUGUACCUACUUUAGGAUUUGACUUUGUUUCUCUAAGCUUCCA